This 380-nucleotide ribosomal RNA is filed under the name uncultured bacterium. RNAcentral describes it as "bacterial SSU rRNA". It matches the Rfam family "Bacterial small subunit ribosomal RNA", at positions 975 to 1368 of the family's 1533-position model. The record is from RNAcentral.
CAAGGCUUGACAUCCCGUGAACCUGGGCGAAAGUCCGGGGUGCUUUAUUGAGCACGGUGACAGGUGAUGCAUGGCCGUCGUCAGCUCGUGUCGUGAGAUGUUUGGUUAAGUCCAUCAACGAGCGCAACCCUUGUGAAUAGUUGUAUUUUUCUAUUCAGACUGCCCCGGCAACGGGGAGGAAGGAGGGGAUGAUGUCAGGUCAGUAUUUCCCUUACGUCUUGGGCUAGAAACGUCAUACAAUGGCCAGUACAAUGCGCAGCUAAACCGCGAGGUGGAGCAAAUCGCAUCAAAACUGGUCCCAGUUCGGAUAGGAGGCUGAAACUCGCCUCCUUGAAGUCGGAGUCGCUAGUAAUCGCAGAUCAGCAACGCUGCGGUGAAUA